This 414-nucleotide non-coding RNA is filed under the name uncultured fungus. RNAcentral also lists the same sequence under 1 other name. The record is from RNAcentral. Lineage: Eukaryota; Fungi.
AGAGUUAAACAGUACGUGAAAUUGUUGAAAGGGAAACGAUUGAAGCCAGUCGUACCUUCGGGUAAUCAGCCUUUCGGGUGCGAUUAUGUGGAGUGUGAGGAGCUUAAACACCUUCAUGUUUUGCAUAUUCGUACUCUUGGGUGUACUUGCCCGUGUGGUUGGUUAACAUCAAUUUUGGUGGUCAUAAAAUGACUGGGGGAAUGUAGCUUCGAUCUUGUAUUGAAGUGUUAUAGCCUUCGGUAGAUGUGAUGAUCGAGAUUGAGGAUUGCAACGGAUACCCUUUGGGGCUACCUGUCUGAUCUCUGAUCGUUGCUUUGGUGCCGAAAGCUUGCUUACGGUUAUCAAAGUCGAUGGUCAAUAGGUUAGAACGGGUUAAAUUCGUUAAGGAUGUUGACGUAAUGGCUUUAAACGACC